CAGUCGCCGCGGUAAUACGAAGGGUGCAAGCGUUACUCGGAAUUACUGGGCGUAAAGCGUGCGUAGGUGGUGGUUUAAGUCCGUUGUGAAAGCCCUGGGCUCAACCUGGGAAUUGCAGUGGAUACUGGGUCACUAGAGUGUGGUAGAGGAUAGUGGAAUUUCCGGUGUAGCAGUGAAAUGCGUAGAGAUCGGAAGGAACACCUGUGGCGAAGGCGACUAUCUGGGCCAACACUGACACUGAGGCACGAAAGCGUGGGGAGCAAACGGGAUUAGAUACCCGAGUAGUCCCUGUCUCUUAUAC
RNAcentral lists this ribosomal RNA (301 nucleotides) under uncultured bacterium. RNAcentral's name for it is "partial 16S ribosomal RNA". It matches the Rfam family "Bacterial small subunit ribosomal RNA", at positions 509 to 807 of the family's 1533-position model. The record is from RNAcentral.